AGAGUAGGGGCUGCCACACUGAAGGCCCUGUCUCCAAAACUCUGCAGCUUGGUCCGGGGGAUGGAGAGGAGACCAAGGUCCCAAGACCGUGGGUUCUGGGAUGGAGUGUGUUGGUGGAGGAGGUCAGCCAGAACUAAUAUUCGAAAAAUAAGAAGAUUAAGUUACUGGAAGUCACGUCAACAGACAUUUAGUCGCACAAGUGCAGUCGUCCCCUGCUGGCCAUCAGAGAGCGAACACACACCUGUUAGCGUAGGCACAGAUGUUAUCAACCAGAGAGCAGUUCUUCAACACGGCCUCCACCUUCCCCAGGGACACGUACUCUCCGGCCUGCAGCUUCACCAAGUCUUUCUUACGAUCUGGAAACACAGCAGAGACAAAAACAUUUCCACGUGCACAUCUCCAAGUGUGGGUUUGUAAUCUUUCGAAAGGAGGGAAGAGGGGAGGAGGACAGAACCUACUUUCCACUGAACUGUGCUUAUCUGAGCGGCCUCAUCUAGAUAAGAGAGGAGAUUCAGGGGCUCUGGCUGACAGACGUAAACACCACUGUGGGGUCAUUCUGGGAAGUGAUGUGAAAUCUUAUUUGUUAAAAGGUUUCCUGUCAGGUUGAUGGAUGGAACUGGAGCGGGGAGGCUUGUCUGGUAAGAAUCCAGGAAUCUGGGGCACAGUGUUGAUAACCUGUGCUUUUGAUCCAGCAGCACCAGACCCACGUGAUAAUCUGAGCCACCGUUACUCUAAUCCUCCUCACCAAUUAUUUUAAGGCAGCCGUCUUUGUGGAACUCUCCGAUGUCUCCCGUGCAGAACCACCGCUGACCAUUUUCAUCCACAAAGAAGUCCUCCUGGGCCUUGGCCUCGCUCUUGUAGUAUCCUUGCGUUACAUUGGGUCCGCCGACCAGGAUCUCUCCUCUCGGAUGUGGCUUGUCAGUGCUGCGAUAACCACCUGGAGGCAGAGUUUAAAUUGAAAACGGUUUCAAUCCUCUUGAUACUGCUUCAUAAUCAUUUCACAGAGCUAAAAAAACUUGUUUACUUUCUCCUGUCUUUCUGCUUUGGGAGCCAAAGCAAUAAACUUAGCCUGAUAAAUAUCAAGAUUUAACAGAUUGCAAUAAAAAUGAGCUACGAUCCCUUACAUAAAGAGGAUGGAGGCUUCACAGGAGUGAAAGAGAAGAAGUAUGUUUUCCUUACAAGGUCACGGCUCAGCAAAAUAAUCAGCCUGACCUGAGAAAAAUUUUCAUGCAGGAUUUAAUACAGACACAGGGAGAGA
Notolabrus celidotus (New Zealand spotty) is the source of this 1258-nucleotide long non-coding RNA. RefSeq lists it as uncharacterized. The transcript has 3 exons. The record is from RefSeq and is a predicted model, not a curated record. NCBI's taxonomy places the organism in Eukaryota, Metazoa, Chordata, Actinopteri, Labriformes, Labridae.